UGGCGGCGUGCUUAACACAUGCAAGUCGAACGAGAAUCACUGGAAGGAGUUUUCGGACAACGGAAGGUGAGGACAGUGGCGGACGGGUGAGUAACGCGUGAGGAACCUGCCUUUCAGAGGGGGACAACAGUUGGAAACGACUGCUAAUACCGCAUGACACAUAGAGAUCGCAUGGUUUUUAUGUCAAAGAUUUAUCGCUGAAAGAUGGCCUCGCGUCUGAUUAGCUAGUUGGUGGGGUAACGGCCCACCAAGGCGACGAUCAGUAGCCGGACUGAGAGGUUGACCGGCCACAUUGGGACUGAGAUACGGCCCAGACUCCUACGGGAGGCAGCAGUGGGGAAUAUUGGGCAAUGGGCGCAAGCCUGACCCAGCAACGCCGCGUGAAGGAAGAAGGCUUUCGGGUUGUAAACUUCUUUUGUCGGGGACGAGUAGAAGACGGUACCUGGCGAAUAAGCCACGGCUAACUACGUGCCAGCAGCCGCGGUAAUACGUAGGUGGCAAGCGUUGUCCGGAUUUACUGGGUGUAAAGGGCGUGUAGCCGGGAAGGCAAGUCAGAUGUGAAAUCCACGGGCUUAACUCGUGAACUGCAUUUGAAACUACUUUUCUUGAGUAUCGGAGAGGCAAUCGGAAUUCCUAGUGUAGCGGUGAAAUGCGUAGAUAUUAGGAGGAACACCAGUGGCGAAGGCGGAUUGCUGGACGACAACU
RNAcentral lists this ribosomal RNA (705 nucleotides) under uncultured Lachnospiraceae bacterium. Its description in RNAcentral is "bacterial SSU rRNA". It matches the Rfam family "Bacterial small subunit ribosomal RNA", at positions 37 to 741 of the family's 1533-position model. The record is from RNAcentral. Lineage: Bacteria; Bacillati; Bacillota; Clostridia; Lachnospirales; Lachnospiraceae.